Molecule: ribosomal RNA, 1026 nt
Filed under: Triticum aestivum (bread wheat)
Lineage: Eukaryota; Viridiplantae; Streptophyta; Magnoliopsida; Poales; Poaceae
Description: partial small subunit ribosomal RNA
Source: RNAcentral
AUGGCUGGGGCACCUCCAGAAUAUAAGAUAUCAUUAGCACAGAUGUACUUUGUGGGGAGAGCUGAUGUCUGGUUAAGGAGAGCGGGCAUUUUGAAGAAGCAGUAUACCUGGGGCCAGUUCUGUGCUGAAAUUCUGCACCGUUUUUCUGCUUCCAGUACCUAUGAUCUUGUGGAAAGAUUCAAUGCUUUCAAGCAAAAUAGUCUCUCUAUUGCUGAAUAUACAGAUCAGUUUGAAGAUCUAAUGGCUCAGGUGCAGGAGGAUAAUCCAAAUUUAACAGAAAUGUGGUUUGUAAAGUGUUAUGUGAAUGGAAUGAGAGCAACAACUAAGUUUCUGUUAAGGCCACUGAGACCUGAAACUUUAACUGAUGCAUAUUGGUUGGCUGUUGAUAUUGAACAGGCUACUCCAGCCAGGAAACCUUAUCCUCUGACAUCUGGUACACAAAGACAUACAACUCCAUAUUAUAAACAGCCAGGUGCAAUUGUGGAUGAAGGAGCCGAAGCAACACAACCAAUGGUCAUACAGAGAGCUAGAGAACCUGGUAAGUGUUGGCGAUGUGGGGACAGUUGGUUUCAUGGACAUAAAUGCAAACAGGCCCCUGUUAUUAAUUUGUUAACGGGAGAAGACCCCACUGAAUUACCAACUACAGAAGAACCAGAAGAAAUGACUGAAAUAGAUCAGCCAGAGCAACCAAAUGCUGAGGAGAACUGUAUGCAAAUUUCUUUGCAGGCCAUGAGCACUGCCAGAGUAAGCACAUUAUCUGUGCUGGUCCAGAUUGGGGGCAAGCAAGCAGUUGCGCUAGUGGAUUCUGGGAGCAAUUCAACAUUUCUGAACUUGAAAUUUACACUGACCACAAACUGCACUAUAUUGAAAGAUAAAUCUAGAGCUGUGACAGUAGCAGGUGGGGGUAUAUUGUGGUCUGGUGCUUAUGUCCCCACUAAAUUCCAAAUCGGCAAAGAACAGUUUGCACAUCCUUUCAGGAUUUUAGAUUUACCAGGGUAUGACAUGGUCAUUGGUCUGGCAAAGUAG